Molecule: microRNA, 23 nt
Filed under: Schistosoma japonicum
Lineage: Eukaryota; Metazoa; Platyhelminthes; Trematoda; Strigeidida; Schistosomatidae
Description: miRNA-3133
Source: RNAcentral
AUAUAUUUGUAAAAUUCCAAUUU